Molecule: long non-coding RNA, 159 nt
Organism: Sinocyclocheilus anshuiensis
Lineage: Eukaryota; Metazoa; Chordata; Actinopteri; Cypriniformes; Cyprinidae
Exons: 2
Source: RefSeq, a predicted model, not a curated record
GCAGAAUCAAACACACUGAAGAUACUCAAGAACUAACAGAGUUAAAUGAAGAAAAUUAGGAGAAUGAAGAAUCGAUUGAAGUUGAGGAGAGAAAUCAUGUCAAAAGUAGAGAAAAACCUUUGAGUUGCUCUGAAACUAAACAGAAAGAUUUAAAGAAAA